RNAcentral lists this ribosomal RNA (274 nucleotides) under uncultured bacterium. RNAcentral describes it as "partial 16S ribosomal RNA". It matches the Rfam family "Bacterial small subunit ribosomal RNA", at positions 523 to 796 of the family's 1533-position model. The record is from RNAcentral.
AUACGGAGGGUGCAAGCGUUAAUCGGAAUUACUGGGCGUAAAGCGCGCGUAGGUGGAUGUAUAAGUCAGAUGUGAAAGCCCUGGGCUCAACCUAGGAACUGCAUUUGAAACUGUACGUCUAGAGUAUGGUAGAGGUGAGUGGAAUUUCAGGUGUAGCGGUGAAAUGCGUAGAGAUCUGAAGGAACAUCAGUGGCGAAGGCGACUCACUGGGCCAUUACUGACACUGAGGUGCGAAAGCGUGGGUAGCAAACAGGAUUAGAAACCCUAGUAGUCC